AGAAGGACCGGCCCAGAGCUGACGCCAUCUACCAGAGACCUCUGUCUAUCCCCGGGUCCCAGGGGCCCGUGCAGGGAAGCGAUGUUUGAGCUGAGACUUGAAGGAGUAAGGGGGAGGAAGAGGGUCUGGUGAGGUCGGAGGAGACCCUCUACACCUUAGUAAGAUUGCUUUAUCCUUAACCGAAGAUGCAUGCAAAGCUACUGAAGGAUUUUAAGCCCAGCAAUCACCGUAAGAGCAGACAUUUAUUUGGAAUUUACAUGACUCUAAGCACUGUACAUGGAAUAACAAUGACAAUAGCAAAUCUGCUUAAUAUGUGCCAAGCACUUUGCAGAUGUGAAGUCAUUUAGUCUUCAUAGCAGCCUUUCCACCAUGUGCAAGUGUAAAAUCCUCAUUUUGCAGAAGAGGAAACUGAGGCACAGACUCUCUGAGGUCGGGGAUUCUACCACAGAGUUCUGCACUGUGCCUUACUGAAACGAGUGCUGGAUUUGCAGUAAAAAUUGAAUUCGAAUUCUACCUCUACUAGGCCUUAUAAAGCUGUGAAGUACCUACUUCAGGAUGGUACAGCUUGUUUAAAAUAUAAGGUGCCCAGAAGAAAAGGGAUCUAAAACUAAAACUCUGACAAAAGUGCAGUGGGCCCAAGAGAAAUUCUCGCGACAGCCUGGAGAGAAUUCAGGGGAGGAUUUUAAAAUCUGCAACCACGGGGACUGUGUCUUCUUCACUGUUACUAUCCUGCUCACAGUACAGUGCCUGGAGCUGAAUGGAUAAAUGAAUGAAGAUGAAGUCAGUGCAAAAGUAAUAAGACAUAAGAAAAUUCAAAGAUUCAUUAAUGUCUAGAAGUCUGGCGGUACCCCCCAACAAGAAAGGAAGUUGAGGCCCCUGAAGAGAAAUGACGCGUCCAUUGUCACACACCACAGUAGUGGUUUUUGUAUACUGUUCCUCAGCAUUCUUAGAUGCCUUGGAGAUCCACCUCUCUUCCCUCUCUCCCUCUCCUCUGCAUUUAUUGAACAUUUAUUAUGUGCUUCCUCAAAGCUUUACAGAAAUUAUCCUACUUAAUCCUCACCACAGCCCCAUUUUACGGAUGUGCAAGCUGAGUCUUACAGCCGAGAGCUUUGUUGAGCUCCCGGAAAAGCAAACACAUAAUUAUAAUGGAGGUAAAUGGACUGAAAGCCAAGUCAAAGAGGCAGAUCGGCUUCACCAGGAGAGGCACUCACUUCUGCAAAGACAGCAGGGUAAAGAGAACUAGCCUCUUGACCUGGACAAGAGGUGCCUACAACUGUGGGCUGAAAGAGUGUGGAGAACUGUUGACACUGCAGGCAAAAAGAAUGUUAUCAAAGUUCUGUUCAAGUCAAAGGCCGGCCACGGAGGCUAAGGAGAGCUCACUGCCUCAAAGAAGAGCCUGCCUGGAGAGAUUUCUUCACGCUACAAACCUCUGUAAAUGUCCUUUCAACGAUUCUGUUUAAAAAAAAAAAAGGAAUAACCUUAGAUCAAAGUUAGGGCAAGAGUUUCCGCAACAGCGAAGCCCAUAAUGCCGCAAGGGGGAGAUUAGAGUGAAAUUUUUACGUGAAAAUGUUUCAAGUAUUUAGAAGCUCUUAUGGAAAUAAAAAACACCACGAUGGACAAAUGAUGUGAAUAAAAAUUCACAGAAGAGGUAGCAGUGGCUAAUAAAUAAGAAAAAGGAGGGUUAGCUUCAUUGAUUGCAUUGAAGAAAUGCAAAAUAGGGGUUGACCCUGUGGCCUAGUGGUUAAGUUUGGUGUGCUCCUCUUAGGCUGCCUGGGUUCGUGGGUUCGGAUCCCAGGCACAGACCUACACCACUUGUCAGCCACGCUGCGGCAGCAUCCCACAUAUAAAGUAGAGGAAGAUUGGCAUAGAUGUUAGCUCAGGGCUAAUCUUCCUCAGCAAAAAACAAGAAAGAAAGAAA
Molecule: long non-coding RNA, 1918 nt
Organism: Equus asinus (donkey)
Lineage: Eukaryota; Metazoa; Chordata; Mammalia; Perissodactyla; Equidae
Source: Ensembl